GAACUGUCAGGCUAGAGUGCAGGAGAGGAAGGUAGAAUUCCCGGUGUAGCGGUGAAAUGCGUAGAGAUCGGGAGGAAUACCAGUGGCGAAGGCGGCCUUCUGGACUGACACUGACACUGAGGUGCGAAAGCGUGGGUAGCAAACAGGAUUAGAUACCCUGGUAGUCCACGCCGUAAACGAUGUCGACCAGCCGUUGGGUGCCUAGAGCACUUUGUGGCGAAGUUAACGCGAUAAGUCGACCGCCUGGGGAGUACGGCCGCAAGGUUAAAACUCAAAUGAAUUGACGGGGGCCCGCACAAGCGGUGGAGCAUGUGGUUUAAUUCGAUGCAACGCGAAGAACCUUACCUACCCUUGACAUCUACAGAAGCCGGAAGAGAUUCUGGUGUGCCUUCGGGAACUGUAAGACAGGUGCUGCAUGGCUGUCGUCAGCUCGUGUUGUGAAAUGUUGGGUUAAGUCCCGUAACGAGCGCAACCCUUGUCCUUAUUUGCCAGCGAGUAAUGUCGGGAACUCUAAGGAGACUGCCGGUGACAAACCGGAGGAAGGUGGGGACGACGUCAAGUCAUCAUGGCCCUUACGGGUAGGGCUACACACGUGCUACAAUGGCCGGUACAAAGGGCUGCGAGCUCGCGAGAGUCAGCGAAUCCCUUAAAGCCGGUCUCAGUCCGGAUCGGAGUCUGCAACUCGACUCCGUGAAGUCGGAAUCGCUAGUAAUCGUGAAUCAGAAUGUCACGGUGAAUACGUUCCCGGGCCUUGUACACACCGCCCGUCACACCAUGGGAGUGGACUGCACCAGAAGUGGUUAGCCUAACGCAAGAGGGC
This is a ribosomal RNA of 820 nucleotides. It matches the Rfam family "Bacterial small subunit ribosomal RNA", at positions 630 to 1451 of the family's 1533-position model.